GAAAUAAUUAGUAGCUAUUUACGGCUCAUAGUUUCAAAUUAAGGUUAAAUCACUCUGACAGUAUUGCUAAUAUAUAUAAACAAUAUUUUAUAUUUUAGAAGGCUUAGAAGUCAAAUUGUCCAGAAGGAAGGACUGCAAACUUUUCAAGAACAUAAUUCUGGGAAUGAAUAAGGAAGCUGUUGGUAAAAUGGGAUCUUUUGGAGCAUUGUACAACAUGAAGAAAACAACACAAUAUGGAACAACUUCGUAGAACAGCCUGAUCUUGACACUAUAAUGUUCCAGUUCUGUAAAAUCAUGUGCUUGCUUUAGGGUUCGCUUAAGGAAAACUCAAUUGAAAAAAUUCACAAAACAAUGCAAAAUUAGAAGCAUGAGAAAGAAUUUGUGAUUAGAUCCUGUGUGCUUCAGGACUGCAAAUGGAGUCCCCUGUCUUUAUUUAUGUUGAGAUUGAAGUCUCUAUGAGCCCCCUGACUGUGGAAGAAACAGUUGUUGGACAGCUGGAUGAUUUCCAGCAAAGGAGAAGGCAUGAACCUGGAGUUACUACCACAUUCCAAGGACCUUCUACAGCCAUCUUCAAGAAGAAGCGAACAAACAAUUCAUUAGCCUGUGGUUCUAGUAUCCUUAACUGUUUCAACAUCAUCGACUUCCACAAGGAACUAUGGCUAUACAGUUCAGUCAUGGAGCUUGUUCAUAAAGACAGUCCCUAACAUGGGUUACAAUGAUAUGACUGCUGAGGUAUCCACAAAAACGAAGUGAGUAUCCUUGGCUAAUUUGUGUCCUGGAAGCAUGAGACAUUAAUUGAACUAUGGAAAUACGAAUCCAAGCAUUUUAUGGCUCACCCUUAACUUAUCAAAGUGAUAAGAUUUCUGAAGAGGUGUGAAAAUGUAUUGGAAAGUAUUUAGAUAUUUUAU
This 908-nucleotide long non-coding RNA is filed under the name Mus spicilegus (steppe mouse). Its description in RNAcentral is "lncRNA (ENSMSIG00000007860.1)". Lineage: Eukaryota; Metazoa; Chordata; Mammalia; Rodentia; Muridae. The record is from RNAcentral.